RNAcentral lists this ribosomal RNA (415 nucleotides) under uncultured bacterium. RNAcentral describes it as "bacterial SSU rRNA". It matches the Rfam family "Bacterial small subunit ribosomal RNA", at positions 57 to 475 of the family's 1533-position model. The record is from RNAcentral.
GCAAGUCGAGGGGUAACGGAAGUAGCUUGCUACUAGACGACGACCGGCGCACGGGUGAGUAACGCGUAUGUAAUCUGCCUUGUACAGAGGGAUAGCCCAGAGAAAUUUGGAUUAAUACCUCAUAGUAUUACCGAAUCGCAUGAUUUGGUAAUUAAAGCUCCGGCGGUACAAGAUGAACAUGCGUGACAUUAGCUAGUUGGUAAGGUAACGGCUUACCAAGGCUACGAUGUCUAGGGGUUCUGAGAGGAUGAUCCCCCACACUGGUACUGAGACACGGACCAGACUCCUACGGGAGGCAGCAGUGAGGAAUAUUGGUCAAUGGACGCAAGUCUGAACCAGCCAUCCCGCGUGAAGGAUGACUGCCCUAUGGGUUGUAAACUUCUUUUAUAUGCAAAUAAACCUACUUUCGUGAAAG